Molecule: ribosomal RNA, 333 nt
Filed under: uncultured bacterium
Lineage: Bacteria
Description: bacterial SSU rRNA
Rfam family: Bacterial small subunit ribosomal RNA
Source: RNAcentral
ACUCCUACGGGAGGCAGCAGUGGGGAAUAUUGGACAAUGGGCGAAAGCCUGAUCCAGCCAUGCCGCGUGUGUGAAGAAGGUCUUCGGAUUGUAAAGCACUUUAAGUUGGGAGGAAGGGCAUUAACCUGAAUACGUUAGUGUUUUGACGUUACCAACUAGAAUAAGCACCGGCUAACUUCGUGCCAGCAGCCGCGUAAUACGAAGGGUGCAAGCGUUAAUCGGAAUUACUGGGCGUAAAGCGCGCGUAGGUGGUUCAGCAAGUUGAAGGUGAAAUCCCCGGGCUCAACCUGGGAACUGCCUCCAAAACUACUGAGCUAGAGUACGGUAGAGGGU